This 564-nucleotide ribosomal RNA is filed under the name Neosesarma rectipectinatum. RNAcentral's name for it is "partial 16S ribosomal RNA". The stretch from base 412 to 564 matches the Rfam family "Bacterial large subunit ribosomal RNA", at positions 2473 to 2625 of the family's 2925-position model. Lineage: Eukaryota; Metazoa; Arthropoda; Malacostraca; Decapoda; Sesarmidae. The record is from RNAcentral.
GUCUAUUUGAAGAUAUAAAAAGUCUAACCUGCUCACUGAUGAAAGAUAAUUUAAAUAGCCGCGGUAUUUCUGACCGUGCAAAGGUAGCAUAAUCGUUAGUUUCUUAAUUAGAAUCUUGUAUGAAUGGUUUGACAAGAAAAAAUCUGUCUUUAUAAUUAUUUAUUGAAUUUAACUUUUAAGUGAAAAGGCUUAAAUAAAUUAAAAAGACGAUAAGACCCUAUAAAACUUGAUAUUAAUAAUUUAAUCAAUAGAAAUUUAACGUAGUUUAAAUAUUUUAAUAAUUAAUUAUUAUUUUGUUGGGGUGACAAUGGUAAAAUGAUUAUUAACUGUUAAUUAUUUUAUAACAUAAAUUAUUGAAUAAUAUUAUAUAAAUGAUCCUGUAUAAAGAUUAAAAGUUUAAGUUACUUUAGGGAUAACAGCGUUAUUUUUUUUGAGAGUUCUUAUCGAGAAAAAAGUUUGCGACCUCGAUGUUGAAUUAAAAUAUCUAUAUAAUUGUAGUAGUUAUAUAAGAAGGUCUGUUCGACCUUUAAAUUUUUACAUGAUUUGAGUUCAAACCGGUGUGAG